CGAAAUAUUUCUUCGUACUGCUCGGUGCGAGCAAAAAUCGCACUGCAGCAGAAAAUUUUUAUUUUUAAGGCAUUGGAGUGUCUUCAUCGAAACGACUACAGUCAGUUUUGGUCUCUGGUAUAUUUUGACUUCAGUUCAAGCUCUGGCACGAUGCCCAUCUUAUAAUUUUGCGCGUCCUGGAUGUCUUUUUCGAAUCCUGCUUUCAACCAGGAUUUAAGGCAGACCAAUUUUUGUAUGGUUUCGGCGCUGAGACAUUGUCUCUUCGGUUGCAAUAUGUCGGGACCAGAUGAAAAUAGCCGUUCAACCGGGAUACCAGAACCGGAGGCCGCCAAAAAGUCCUUCGCCAUGAUUGAUAGUAUUGGAAACUCCUUCGCAUGAAUCUGUGCAAUAAAUGUAAGGUUUUUUAGCUGA
Bradysia coprophila is the source of this 411-nucleotide long non-coding RNA. Lineage: Eukaryota; Metazoa; Arthropoda; Insecta; Diptera; Sciaridae. The record is from RefSeq and is a predicted model, not a curated record.